RNAcentral lists this ribosomal RNA (252 nucleotides) under uncultured bacterium. RNAcentral's name for it is "partial 16S ribosomal RNA". It matches the Rfam family "Bacterial small subunit ribosomal RNA", at positions 524 to 776 of the family's 1533-position model. The record is from RNAcentral.
UACGUAGGUGGCAAGCGUUGUCCGGAAUUAUUGGGCGUAAAGCGCGCGCAGGCGGUUAUGUAAGUCUGAUGUUAAAGCCCUGGGCUCAACCUCGGUUCGCAUUGGAAACUGUGUAACUUGAGUGCAGAAGAGGAAAGUGGUAUUCCACGUGUAGCCGGGAAAUGCGUAGAUAUGUGGAGGAACACCAGUGGCGAAGGCGACUUUCUGGUCUGUAACUGACGCUGAGGCGCGACACCGUGGGGAGCAAACAGG